Molecule: non-coding RNA, 71 nt
Organism: Pan troglodytes (chimpanzee)
Lineage: Eukaryota; Metazoa; Chordata; Mammalia; Primates; Hominidae
Source: RefSeq, marked provisional
ACAACAUGUUUUUAGUACAUGUAUGUCUGGUGCAAUAAUUGGGACAUACUUAUGCUAAAAAAAUUAGUGUU